This 258-nucleotide ribosomal RNA is filed under the name uncultured bacterium. RNAcentral describes it as "partial 16S ribosomal RNA". It matches the Rfam family "Bacterial small subunit ribosomal RNA", at positions 524 to 776 of the family's 1533-position model. The record is from RNAcentral.
UACGUAGGGGGCAAGCGUUGUCCGGAAUCAUUGGCGUAAGGAGCGCGUAGGCGGUCCAGUAAGUCCGCUCUGAAAGUCCGGGGCUCAACCCCGGGAGGCGGGCGGAUAACUGCUGGGCUAGAGUCCGGAAGAGGGCGAGUGGAAUUCCUGGAUGUAGCGGUGAAAGUGACGCAGAGUAUCAGGAGGAACACCAAUGGCGAAGGCAGCUCGCUGGGACGGUACUGACGCUGAGGCGCGAAAGCGUGGGGAGCAAACAGG